Long non-coding RNA from Mesocricetus auratus (golden hamster), 1213 nucleotides. RefSeq lists it as uncharacterized. The transcript has 5 exons. Lineage: Eukaryota; Metazoa; Chordata; Mammalia; Rodentia; Cricetidae. The record is from RefSeq and is a predicted model, not a curated record.
CCUGCGAGACGGUGUCUCCUAGGCGUGUUGGGAAGUUGUCCUUGUGAAAUCUCAACUCUAUGAUCGUCCUUUGCUUUCUUACUGACAACUACUCUGGCUAGGGAAUUGUCUCUGGGCUUGGAAGCCCACACCUUCAAUCCCAGCACUGGGGAGGCAGAGGCAGGAAGAUCUCUGUGAGUCUGAGCCCAGCCUGGUCUACAGAGAUUCCUUCCUGUGACAGAGAUUUUCAGGAAACCUUUGUAUCCACACAGAAAAACCAGUGAGUCCAAACUGCAAGCUCAUGUGUGAUUCAAGCACACUGCCUUUUCACGGAAAUGUGUGGAGCAUGAAGAGGGCUGGCUCCCGAGCUAGGUAGGGUGGCACAUAUUCGUGAUCCAAGCACUCGGGAGGCUGAGCCAGGAAGACUGCCUCAAGCUCUGGUCUAACCUGGGAUACAUGUUUCAAAAUUACUAAAAGAAAAUUCUUCUGCCUGUAAACAAAAGUUACAUCUCCAAACAAUCUUUCACAUGUGGGCCACAAAGCUAAAAAAGUGAGCCCAAUCCCUUUCAUCUUGAGAAGAACCGUGUCCACGCUUUGGUUCACUUGAGACAAGAAAGAAUGAAAACAGCAAGGAAGACCCCAGCAUGUCGAAUUGGCAACGAGAACCAAGGUGUGUGGAGAAAUUAUUUUGCAUGGGUUCUCCCUCAGCACUCACAGAGGUUAUUUAUGUGAUAUUUGUGCUGCUGUAUUUUGUGCCAGUACUAAUCAUUGUGCAGAUGGAAAGUACAUUGGCAAGGGGAAACUGGGAUGUGAACCCAGGUUUCCCAGCCUCAAGCACGGGAUUGGUUAUGAGUUAGCACAGCCACUUACUGCUUGCGUCUCAAAGCCAGUUUUUCUCAGAAUAGCAAACCUGCUUGCUAGACGACUGCUGCCCUCGUCCAUUCCCCUUUGCUUACGUCACAGACAGGCCCAGCAUUGUCCUCCUCCAGGACUUCAGUGCCGCUUCCUACGUUCUACAGCUGCCACUCAGUUGGGAAGAAGUGGUCACUAAUCCCAGAGCCGCAACUGCCAACCUCUCCUGGCAAUCUGAGACAAUGAGACGCCAACACAGCCACCAUAAAACCGAGAAGUGAGGAGUCAUGAGUUCAUACAGUAGAAAGAUAGACCAUAGAUUUAGAGAGAAGAUGCAUAGAUAAUAGACUAAUUAUAUAUAUAUCCUCUUUGGUGGUUUGAA